This 253-nucleotide ribosomal RNA is filed under the name uncultured bacterium. RNAcentral's name for it is "partial 16S ribosomal RNA". It matches the Rfam family "Bacterial small subunit ribosomal RNA", at positions 524 to 776 of the family's 1533-position model. The record is from RNAcentral.
UACGUAGGGCGCAAGCGUUGUCCGGAAUUAUUGGGCGUAAAGAGCUCGUAGGCGGCCUGUUGCGUCCGCUGUGAAAUCCCGGGGCUCAACCCCGGGACUGCGUCCGAUACUUCCGAGCUGGAGGUAGGUAGGGGAGAUCGGAAUUCCUGGUGUAGCGGUGAAAUGCGCAGAUAUCAGGAGGAACACCGGUGGCGAAGGCGGAUCUCUGGGCCUUACCUGACGCUGAGGCGCGAAAGCUAGGGGAGCGAACAGG